This 345-nucleotide unclassified non-coding RNA is filed under the name soil metagenome. RNAcentral describes it as "partial contains 5.8S ribosomal RNA, internal transcribed spacer 2, and large subunit ribosomal RNA". The stretch from base 1 to 119 matches the Rfam family "5.8S ribosomal RNA", at positions 35 to 154 of the family's 154-position model. The record is from RNAcentral.
GAUGAAGAACGUAGCGAAAUGCGCUACGUAAUGUGAAUUGCAAAUUCAGUGAAUCAUCGAGUCUUUGAACGCACAUUGCGCCCCCUGGUAUUCCGGGGGGCAUGCCUGUCCGAGCGUCAUUGCUGCCCUCAAGCACGGCUUGUGUGUUGGGCCCCGUCCUCCGAUCCCGGGGGACGGGCCCGAAAGGCAGCGGCGGCACCGCGUCCGGUCCUCGAGCGUAUGGGGCUUUGUCACCCGCUCUGUAGGCCCGGCCGGCGCUUGCCGAUCAACCCAAAUUUUUAUCCAGGUUGACCUCGGAUCAGGUAGGGAUACCCGCUGAACUUAAGCAUAUCAAUAAGCGGAGGA